GGAGAGGUGGCCGAGCGGCUGAAGGCGCCGCUCUCGAAAAGCGGUAUCCCGUGACCCGGGAUCGUGGGUUCAAAUCCCACCCUCUCCGCCA
Molecule: transfer RNA, 91 nt
Filed under: Desulfobacteraceae bacterium
Lineage: Bacteria; Pseudomonadati; Thermodesulfobacteriota; Desulfobacteria; Desulfobacterales; Desulfobacteraceae
Also listed under: 1 other name
Description: tRNA-Ser
Rfam family: tRNA
About the family: Transfer RNA (tRNA) molecules are approximately 80 nucleotides in length. Their secondary structure includes four short double-helical elements and three loops (D, anti-codon, and T loops).
Source: RNAcentral